GCCGUGAGGCUCCGCCCAGAGACGUCGCUGGCCGGGCUCAGACACUCGGAGGCUCCCGCUGGAAGCUCCGCCCCGACUGGGGCUUGUGACUGAUUAAGUGAACAAAGCCAGCCAAAGCAUGAGUGCGCAACCAGCAUGGUUGCAUGAAAACUUCAAGUGGGAGUGACAAAGGAGGCCGACAAAGACGCUCCUGACGGCAAACAGGUACAUACACAAACGGCGGGGCAGAGGGCGCGGCCGCUAGCAGGAAUGCGCUGGAGGCAUCUCGCCACACCCUCCCGAGAUCCCCCCCCCCACUCCUCACCACCACCUCCUGCCAUGUUGCAUCGGCUGAGUCACCUGCUCAACCAGUAUGUGUGCAAGUACGGGCUGGAAGUCCAAAUCCUGGCCACGCACGCCUCCAAACGCAGGCAAACUUGAAAAGUGGCUGAGGAGGGCAUUUUUUUAUUCAGUUAUUUAUUUGUACUGCUCAAAUGUAGCUAGGACAGGCGUCUAUUCACAGUGUCACCUUGACUUACAAGUCAAAUCAAUGUUCCCCACUGAAAUAAAUGGAAAUGCCUUUCAUCCACCCAGCCUCCCAAACGCAACCAACAAUACUGUUUGUAAAUUAUUCUUUAAUAAGAAAAAGUAGUUCAUAAAAACUGACAGUCAUGACAUAAUUGAAUCGACGCUCAAGAAAGUAAACCCUUUGCCACUUUUUUUGCUUCAAUUUGCUGGACAUUGCGCUGCCCAUUCUGGUGUGCAUG
This is a long non-coding RNA of Hippocampus comes (tiger tail seahorse), 746 nucleotides long. RefSeq lists it as uncharacterized. The transcript has 3 exons. NCBI's taxonomy places the organism in Eukaryota, Metazoa, Chordata, Actinopteri, Syngnathiformes, Syngnathidae. The record is from RefSeq and is a predicted model, not a curated record.